GGAUAUGUCUGUUGCCGGGGAGCAUCACCCAAACAUCACACUCCCUCCCCUACAGAAGCCCUGAGACCACAGUGCCUCACAAUGGGCUGGAGCUGGAGAAUCCUCUUCUUGGUGGCAGUAGCUUCAGGUGUCUCCUCCGAGGUCCAGCUAAUACAGUCGGGGCCAGAGUUGAAGAAGCCUGGGUCAUCAGUGAAGAUCUCCUGCAAGGCUUCUGGAUACACCUUCACUGAAUAUGCUAUGCACUGGGUGCGACAGGCCAAUGGAAAAGGGAUUGAAUGGAUGGGAUCUAUCAGUCCUCAUGAUGAUGAUACGAGCUACGCACCGAAGUUCCAAGGCAGAGUCACCAUCACCGUGGACAAGUCCACGAGCACAGUCUACAUGGAGCUGAGCAGUCUGACAUCUGAGGACACGGCCAUGUAUUACUGUGCGAAAGACACAGUGUGA
Equus caballus (horse) is the source of this 444-nucleotide non-coding RNA. NCBI's taxonomy places the organism in Eukaryota, Metazoa, Chordata, Mammalia, Perissodactyla, Equidae. The record is from the annotation of a RefSeq genome assembly.